GUUUGUUUGCUCAGAACUUUGUCCAGUGGUUUUGCAGAGCAACUAAUGACAGCAGGACAGUGAAAUUACUUAUCAAUGGACUAAAACGCAUGGAGAUCGGGAAAAAAUCAAAGAGGCUACCAACUGGACGUGGAGUUUUUCGCAGCUUGCUGCAAGAUUUGUUCUCCCGGGAUGCAAUCGGACAAGAUCGAUUGAAGCAUUUCUCUGCAGCUGGAACAGAUCCACUUUUUAGGAAGCUGCAGAGGACGACGAGUGUGAUGGGAUGAGACCAGACAUUCAGCACUUCCCCCCCAGGAUGAAAAGCGGCGUGUGCACGCACGCGCGUCUGUCAUCCUAACUAAAUGAGGACAUUCAUACGUAGAAGAAGCUGUAUUUAAGAACAUUGGCAAAAGAUACACAUACAUAAAAGAUUAUCAUCAGCGGAUAAUACCAAUCAAAACAACACUUUAUUCUUAUUAUGAUUAUAAUAUAAUUAGUGUAUCUCCUGGGAGUUAAGUCUACCCCUGUCUUUAAAAACAAA
Long non-coding RNA from Entelurus aequoreus (snake pipefish), 520 nucleotides. RefSeq lists it as uncharacterized. The transcript has 3 exons. Lineage: Eukaryota; Metazoa; Chordata; Actinopteri; Syngnathiformes; Syngnathidae. The record is from RefSeq and is a predicted model, not a curated record.